CUCAAAUCAGGUAGGACUACCCACUGAACUUAAGCAUAUCAAUAAGUGGAGGAAAAGAAACUAACAAGGAUUCCCCUAGUAACGGCGAGUGAAGCGGGAAGAGCUCAAAUUUAAAAUCUGGCAGUCUACGAUUGUCCGAAUUGUAAUCUCGAGAAGUGUUUUCCGCGUUGGCCUGUGCACAAGUCCCUUGGAACAGGGCGUCAUAGAGGGUGAGAAUCCCGUCCUUGGCACAGAUACCCAAUGCUUUGUGAUACACUCUCAAUGAGUCGAGUUGUUUGGGAAUGCAGCUCAAAAUGGGAGGUAAAUUCCUUCUAAAGCUAAAUACUGGCGAGAGACCGAUAGCGAACAAGUACCGUGAGGGAAAGAUGAAAAGCACUUUGGAAAGAGAGUCAAACAGUACGUGAAAUUGUUGAAAGGGAAACGAUUGAAGUCAGUCGUGCCUGCCUAGAUUCAGCCUUCUGGUGUAUUUCUAGGUCGGCAGGUCAGCAUCAGUUUGGGAGGGUUAACAAGGGGAUUAGGAAUGUAGCAACCUCGGUUGUGUUAUAGCCUAGUUUCGUAUUGAUCUUGCUGGACUGAGGAACGCAGUGCGCCCGCAAGGGUAGGUCUUCGGACACUUUCGCACUUAGGAUGCUGGCAUAAUGGCUUUAAACGACCCGUCUUGAAACACGGACCAAGGAGUC
RNAcentral lists this ribosomal RNA (680 nucleotides) under Cystofilobasidium capitatum. RNAcentral describes it as "eukaryotic LSU rRNA". It matches the Rfam family "Eukaryotic large subunit ribosomal RNA", at positions 1 to 675 of the family's 3401-position model. The record is from RNAcentral. Lineage: Eukaryota; Fungi; Basidiomycota; Tremellomycetes; Cystofilobasidiales; Cystofilobasidiaceae.